RNAcentral lists this ribosomal RNA (268 nucleotides) under uncultured bacterium. Its description in RNAcentral is "partial 16S ribosomal RNA". It matches the Rfam family "Bacterial small subunit ribosomal RNA", at positions 793 to 1055 of the family's 1533-position model. The record is from RNAcentral.
GUCCACGCUGUAAACGAUGGGCACUAGGUGUCCGGGGUAUUGACCCCCUGGGUGCCGCAGCUAACGCAUUAAGUGCCCCGCCUGGGGGAGUACGGUCGCAAGAUUAAAAACUCAAAAGGAAUUGACGGGGGCCCGCACAAGCGGUGGAGCAUGUGGUUCAAUUCGACGCAACGCGAAGAACCUUACCUGGGCUAGACAACAGUGGACCAUCCUAGAAAUAGGAUUUUCCCUUCGGGGACCGCUGGUUCAGGUGCUGCAUGGCUGUCGU